Molecule: small nuclear RNA, 18 nt
Filed under: Arabidopsis thaliana (thale cress)
Lineage: Eukaryota; Viridiplantae; Streptophyta; Magnoliopsida; Brassicales; Brassicaceae
Description: snRNA_09293
Source: RNAcentral
UGCGGAACGGAGCAAUCC